Small nuclear RNA from Sorex araneus (European shrew), 107 nucleotides. The record is from RefSeq and is a predicted model, not a curated record. NCBI's taxonomy places the organism in Eukaryota, Metazoa, Chordata, Mammalia, Eulipotyphla, Soricidae.
GUGAUCGCUUCGGCUGCACAUAUACUAAAAUUGGAAUGAUACAGAGAAGAUUAGCAUGGCCCCUGCACAAGGAUGACACGCAAAUUCAUGAAGCGUUCCAUGUUUUU